UGAAGCCAACAAUUAGCUUUUUUCAUCUAUCUUUAACUUGCCUCCUAAUCAACUUUAAUUAAAACAAUUGGCAUUAAUUUAAUGUCAUCGUCUCAAUUGAUCUACAUUAUUAAACAUUCCAAAGUGACACAUUAAGAAUUGAUUGAAUGAUUUUGUGAAUCCAAUGCUGACAAAGCUUCAAAUUGGCUGGGUGGCGUAAUUAUAAAUUUAAUUUCAUCUCAUUGCUGUUACCAGUUUUGUCGUUGUUUUUUUUAUAUUAAAUUCAUGUUCACUGUUUACAAUUAUAAUCCUGACCAUUAUGUUGUACCAGCUAUUAUAUUACAUCAACAAGACUACUAUUUUUGCAAUAACAAUCAGUUAACAUGGCAAGGAAACAAAAUCCAUCCAUAAUCAAGAAUAACAUCAACAUGAACUACCAUUACAACUACUACCACUAUUACUGCUACAGGCAAAUCAAAAAAAUAGAUACACAAUUGAAUAGUAAUGUGAAUCUUGUAUAUGUAGUUAAUAAGGUUAAAUUGUGGUGAUUACAGGACAUAAUAAUAACAGCAGCAACAAUGCUAAAUAAUAAUAGAAACGGUCCAGCGAUCGGAUUAAGAUUGUUGCUUCGGAAAACAAAACAACAAACGGUCAGCAAAAGUAGAUUCAAAAGGUGUGGACAUCUCUAAAAGGCGCUGAUGAGGAUGAUGGCGAUGAUCAAGAUGAAGAUGGGAAAGGAGGUGAAAAAAAGAUAAAUCUUACCGUGACAGUGAAGAGGGAGAGAGUCAACAACCCGCCCUGACCCUAGUGUUAUGACCCUAAAUUUACCUUCAGUUAGGGUUUCCACUAUUCUCAUUAUUAUCAUCUCAAUAUUACUCCCCUUCAUCCUCACCUCACCCAAACACACACACAUCCAAAAAUUGUCAUACCAGGUUGAUGCUCUUUCUUCCUAACUCUUCACUUCUCUCCUUUUCAUCCUUUCAACUCACUUUCACCAACACCAACAACAUGACGAUCAAGGGGAAAUCCUCAAAUUGGAUUAGUAAGUUGGAAAUGUUUUCAUUUUACCUUUUCACCUGAAAAUCAUGGAGUUACCUUAUUUAUUACCUUACCCUUUCAAACUACCCUUUUUUAGUCGCAAUGACUAGUGAAACUGUAUUUGGAUGGAUUUGCAGUUAAUCAAGGUACAACCAGGUACAAUUGAUUUUAAACAAAAAAAGACGAAACAUAAUAUUUAUUCAAUUAUUGAACGUUUCGUAACCACAUAUUAUUACGGAUA
Tetranychus urticae (two-spotted spider mite) is the source of this 1258-nucleotide long non-coding RNA. RefSeq lists it as uncharacterized. The record is from RefSeq and is a predicted model, not a curated record. NCBI's taxonomy places the organism in Eukaryota, Metazoa, Arthropoda, Arachnida, Trombidiformes, Tetranychidae.